Megalobrama amblycephala (Wuchang bream) is the source of this 656-nucleotide long non-coding RNA. RefSeq lists it as uncharacterized. NCBI's taxonomy places the organism in Eukaryota, Metazoa, Chordata, Actinopteri, Cypriniformes, Xenocyprididae. The transcript has 3 exons. The record is from RefSeq and is a predicted model, not a curated record.
CCUAUAGGGUAAAUAAUCAGCUAAACGAGGUAGGCUACAAAUAUAUUGUUACAUUGCUUGUAGUUAUAAUAAUUAAUUGAACUACAAUGAUAACAGGAUAUUGUGGUUAUCAAUAUAUUUUAUUUCUCUAUAGGUCUAUGCCAAUGAUGCCAACACCAUACAGCACAGUCAUUCAUUCCACUUAAAGAGUGGAACAUCAACAUAUUGUACCAUUGUAUUUAUCCAAAUAAGGGUCUCUGGGAUCCCCAGUUGAAGGCAUCAGGACAUCAGAUGUUGGCCUGGACAGAUGUACCAACAGUACACCACACUGACCUCUCUGCUUUUGCAUGGAUGGCUGACUACUACCAUGUUCUGUUAGGGUAUUACUAUAGCAAAACAGAACACCUGUGACAGUGGGAUUUGUAGUUUUAAAGAACAGUCACACAUCAGUAAAUUUAAAGUUGUAGAGAAACUUUAACUCAUUUAGAAACUUUUUUUUAGAAGUUUAAAUUUUUUUUUCUCACUCUCUCUCUCACCUUUUCAAAUUAUCUUCUGGAGGUGCACAAAUCCUAUUCUACAAAUCAUAAAUUAAGAAAUUCAUAUGCUCACUUUUUUUAUUACGAACUUCCAUGGUGAUGAUGAGUUUUACCUGUCCAUGAUUUAGAAAUACCGCAGCU